CAUAAAGCACCCCGCCUGGGGAGUACGUUCGCAAGAUUAAAACUCAAAGGAAUGACGGGGGGCCCGCACAAGCGGUGGAGCAUGUGGUUAAUUNGACGCAACGCGCAGAACCUUACCAACCCUUGACAUGUCUCGUAUGGUUUCCAGAGAUGGAUUCCUUCAGUUCGGCUGGCGAGAACACAGGUGUUGCAUGGCUGUCGUCAGCUCGUGUCGUGAGAUGUUGGGUUAAGUCCCGCAACGAGCGCAACCCUCGCCUUUAGUUGCCAUCAUUUAGUUGGGCACUCUAGAGGGACUGCCGGUGAUAAGCCGGAGGAAGGUGGGGAUGACGUCAAGUCCUCAUGGCCCUUACGGGUUGGGCUACACACGUGCUACAAUGGCGGCGACAAUGGGCAGCGAAGGGGCGACCCGGUGCAAAUCCCAAAAAGCCGUCUCAGUUCGGAUUGUACUCUGCAACUCGAGUGCAUGAAGGUGGAAUCGCUAGUAAUCGCGUAACAGCAUGACGCGGUGAAUACGUUCCCGGGCCUUGUACACACCGCCCGUCACACCAUGGGAGUUGGUUUUACCCGAAGCUGGUGCGCUAACCGCAAGGAGGCAGCCAACCACGGUAAGGUCAGCGACUGGGGUGAAGUCGUAACAAGGUAGCCCUAGGGGAAC
This 654-nucleotide ribosomal RNA is filed under the name uncultured bacterium. Its description in RNAcentral is "bacterial SSU rRNA". It matches the Rfam family "Bacterial small subunit ribosomal RNA", at positions 858 to 1511 of the family's 1533-position model. The record is from RNAcentral.